RNAcentral lists this ribosomal RNA (894 nucleotides) under uncultured bacterium. RNAcentral describes it as "bacterial SSU rRNA". It matches the Rfam family "Bacterial small subunit ribosomal RNA", at positions 92 to 994 of the family's 1533-position model. The record is from RNAcentral.
UUAGUGGCGGACGGGUGAGUAACGCGUGGGUAACCUGCCCUAUGCAGGGGGAUAACGUUUGGAAACGAACGCUAAUACCGCAUAAUAAAGAAGGAUUGCAUGAUCUUUCUUUCAAAGAUUUAUCGGCAUAGGAUGGACCCGCGUUGGAUUAGCUAGUUGGUGAGAUAACAGCCCACCAAGGCGACGAUCCAUAGCCGGCCUGAGAGGGUGAACGGCCACAUUGGGACUGAGACACGGCCCAAACUCCUACGGGAGGCAGCAGUGGGGAAUAUUGCACAAUGGGCGAAACCCUGACGCAGCAACGCCGCGUGAAGGAUGAAGGUCUUCGGAUUGUAAACUUCUUUGAUUGGGGAUGAUAAUGACGGUACCCAAGGAACAAGCCACGGCUAACUACGUGCCAGCAGCCGCGGUAAUACGUAGGUGGCAAGCGUUGUCCGGAAUUACUGGGUGUAAAGGGCGUGUAGGCGGGGAAGCAAGUCAGAUGUGAAAUUCCGGGGCUCAACCCCGGCGCUGCAUCUGAAACUGUUUCUCUUGAGUGCUGGAGAGGAAAGCGGAAUUCCUAGUGUGGCGGUGAAAUGCGUAGAUAUUAGGAGGAACACCAGUGGCGAAGGCGGCUUUCUGGACAGUAACUGACGCUGAGGCGCGAUAGCGUGGGGAGCGAACAGGAUUAGAUACCCUGGUAGUCCACGCCGUAAACGAUGAAUGCUAGGUGUUGGGGGCCGACAGGCUUCAGUGCCGCAGGUAAACACAUUUAGGCAUUCCACCUGGGGAAGUACGAUCGGCAGAUUUGAAACUUCGAAAGGAAUAUACCGGGGAGCCGGCCAACGGAUGGAGCAUGUGUUUUAAUUUCGAAGUACGCGCGAAAAAGCGUUACUUAAACUUGAUCAUCCCUCU